UACGAAGGGGGCUAGCGUUGCUCGGAAUGACUGGGCGUAAAGGGCGCGUAGGCGGAUUCUGUAGUCAGGCGUGAAAUUCCCGGGCUCAACCUGGGGGCUGCGCUUGAUACGCGGGGUCUUGAGUGGGGAAGAGGGUCGUGGAAUUCCCAGUGUAGAGGUGAAAUUCGUAGAUAUUGGGAAGAACACCGGUGGCGAAGGCGGCGACCUGGUCCUUUUACUGACGCUGAGGCGCGAAAGCGUGGGGAGCAAACAGG
RNAcentral lists this ribosomal RNA (254 nucleotides) under uncultured bacterium. RNAcentral's name for it is "partial 16S ribosomal RNA". It matches the Rfam family "Bacterial small subunit ribosomal RNA", at positions 524 to 776 of the family's 1533-position model. The record is from RNAcentral.